This 243-nucleotide long non-coding RNA is filed under the name Vigna radiata. RNAcentral's name for it is "long non-coding RNA (VRAD_LNC017590)". Lineage: Eukaryota; Viridiplantae; Streptophyta; Magnoliopsida; Fabales; Fabaceae. The record is from RNAcentral.
AAAUAUUCAACAAUUUAAGCAUAACUCUCUUUCUUACCAAUCUCACUCAUUCCCAACUUUUUCCCUUUUCUUUUUCUUUUUCAUUGANCUCCUCUUCAUGCUUUUCUUCUUUUCUUUUCUUUUUCUCAUGAAUUUUUCUUUUCACAACAUUUGAGCUCAAUGCUUCACAAUUACUUUUCAAUUUUUCACCAUACAACCCCAAACUUGAACCUUUUCAUCGCAUUCAUUUAAGCUCAUCCCAAC